This 253-nucleotide ribosomal RNA is filed under the name uncultured bacterium. RNAcentral's name for it is "partial 16S ribosomal RNA". It matches the Rfam family "Bacterial small subunit ribosomal RNA", at positions 524 to 776 of the family's 1533-position model. The record is from RNAcentral.
UACGUAGGGUCCGAGCGUUGUCCGGAAUUACUGGGCGUGAAGAGCUCGUAGGUGGUUUGUCGCGUUGUCCGUGAAAACUCACAGCUUAACUGUGGGCGUGCGGGCGAUACGGGCAGACUGGAGUACUGCAGGGGAGACUGGAAUUCCUGGUGUAGCGGUGGAAUGCGCAGAUAUCAGGAGGAACACCGGUGGCGAAGGCGGGUCUCUGGGCAGUAACUGACGCUGAGGAGCGAAAGCGUGGGGAGCAAACAGG